Molecule: ribosomal RNA, 843 nt
Filed under: uncultured archaeon
Lineage: Archaea
Description: bacterial SSU rRNA
Rfam family: Archaeal small subunit ribosomal RNA
Source: RNAcentral
UGCGAGUCAUUGUAGCAAUACAAGGCAGACGGCUCAGUAACGCGUAGUCAAUCUACCCUAUGGACGGGAAUAACCUCGGGAAACUGAGAAUAAUGCCCGACAGAACAUUAUACCUGGAACGGUUUAUGUUUCAAAUGAUUUAUCGCCGUAGGAUGGGACUGCGGCCUAUCAGUUUGCUGGUGAGGUAAUGGCCCACCAAGACUAUUACAGGUACGGGCUCUGAGAGGAGUAGCCCGGAGAUGGGUACUGAGACACGGACCCAGGCCCUAUGGGGCGCAGCAGGCGAGAAAACUUUGCAAUGUGCGAAAGCACGACAAGGUUAAUCCGAGUGGUUUCUGCUAAAGAAACCUUUUGCUAGUCCUAGAAACACUAGUGAAUAAGGGGUGGGCAAGUUCUGGUGUCAGCCGCCGCGGUAAAACCAGCACCUCAAGUGGUCAGGAUGAUUAUUGGGCCUAAAGCAUCCGUAGCUCGUUUUGUAAGUUUUCGGUUAAAUCCAUACGCUUAACGUAUGGGCUGCCGGGAAUACUGCAUAACUAGGAAGUGGGAGAGGUAGACGGUACUCGGUAGGAAGGGGUAAAAUCCUUUGAUCUAUUGAUGACCACCUGUGGCGAAGGCGGUCUACCAGAACACGUUCGACGGUGAGGGAUGAAAGCUGGGGGAGCAAACCGGAUUAGAUACCCGGGUAGUCCCAGCUGUAAACUAUGCAAACUCAGUGAUGCAUUGGCUUGUGGCCAAUGCAGUGCUGCAGGGAAGCCGUUAAGUUUGCCGCCUGGGAAGUACGUACGCAAGUAUGAAACUUAAAGGAAUUGGCGGGGGAGCACCACAAGGGGUGAAGCCUGCGGU